Gossypium raimondii (Peruvian cotton) is the source of this 676-nucleotide long non-coding RNA. RefSeq lists it as uncharacterized. The transcript is spliced from 2 exons. The record is from RefSeq and is a predicted model, not a curated record. NCBI's taxonomy places the organism in Eukaryota, Viridiplantae, Streptophyta, Magnoliopsida, Malvales, Malvaceae.
GUGAAUUGAUUAAGUCCUCCAAUCAUUUUACUUUUAAAUAAAAAAAAAUUAAACAAAAAAACUCUACUUUUGUUCUACCUACCUUUCUGUUUGUGUUCUCAUUCUAUUAAUUAAGUACUGCUUCUUGCAAUUGUUUUCCCAGCAAGAUUGCGGCACACACAUCUUGAAAUCCAAAUUCAAGAUUUUAAAGAAUUUUCUUAGCUCGAUCACUUUUAUGGCUUUUUCUGCUGUUGCAUCUGCAGUGCAACAAUUGGCAACCUGCUAACUGAGGAAGCCAUAUACCGAUGGGGCGUGGAGGAGCAAGUUGAUCGUCUGCAAACAGAGCUCAAUUGGAUGCAAAGAUACUUAAUGGACGCAGAGACAAAACAAUCAAAGGAUGAAAGGAUUCGUCUUUGGGUUGCUGAAAUCAAGGAUUAGGAAGGAUAAUGAGACGCCACUGACCUUUAUUCGGAUGUAGCAUUGCAUUUACAUGUUUGGUUUGCAGUGACCAUUCAUAAAUUUUGCUGUGACUACCCUGUUGCUAGUUCUUUUUUCCUACUUCGAUCUGCUCAAGUCUUUUAUGAUAUAAUUAAAUGUAAAAAUAUAUGUAAUAGUAGAAGCCAAGACAGGAUAUUGUAAAAUUGAUCAUUUUGUUUUUAAUGACCAUUUGUUCUCAUCUUUUUUCAUUUUUCAUAAA